Molecule: ribosomal RNA, 402 nt
Filed under: uncultured prokaryote
Description: bacterial SSU rRNA
Rfam family: Bacterial small subunit ribosomal RNA
Source: RNAcentral
UAGGGAAUAUUAGAAAUGGACGAAAGUCUGAUCUAGCAACACCGCGUGUGCGAAGAAGGCCUUCGGGUUGUAAAGCACUUUUUGGAAGGAUUAGGAAGGAAUGUACUUCCAGAAUAAGUCUCGGCUAACUACGUGCCAGCAGCCGCGGCAACACGUAGGAGGCAAACGUUAUCCGGAUUUACUGGGCGUAAAGCGCGUGUAGGUGGUUCUGUAAGUAGGGCGUGAAAGCUCCUGGCUCAACUGGGAGAGGCCGUUCUAAACUGCAGAGCUAGAGGAUGGUAGAGGGAGGUGGAAUUCCGGGUGUAGCGGUGGAAUGCGCAGAUAUCCGGAGGAACACCAGAGGCGAAGGCGGCGACCUGGAUAGGUACUGACACUCAACUACGAAAGCGUGGGGAGCAAACA